UGGAACUGAACGCUGCUGACUCCUGGUUUCUGAGAAAACAAGUUGGGCAAACGUCUUACUGUGUGGGCUGUGAGACGCUUGGAGGACAUGUCCCUCAGGGCCCUAGGAAACCCAGUAAAACCAGUCUCAAGUGAAUCCAGUGAAGCUUGCCACGUUGGAGGCACUUUGGUGCGAUGGAAGAAGGGCCACACUGGGAAUCAGACUGUGUAGAUGCCAUCCCAUCAGCCACUGAACUUCGGUGAUCACAAACUCUGGUGCAGAGAAAUAGAUGUCUGACAAGGAAGAACGUAGCCAAAAAGCACUCCUUCCUUGGCUUCCCAUCUUUGGGACCAAACUGCCAAGGAUAUUCAGUGGAACUGGCCAUACUGAGCAGCAGUCUAGUGACCUACUAGAAGGCAUCCUGGUGCAUCCCAUCUAUUCAAAGAGCUCUCAAGUGUAUUAACCCAUGUGGCCAUCAAAAUAUGAGAAAACCUGGAAAUGCAGGCCUUCAGAAUCCUUUGGCUCAGUCUUUAGAGCAUAAUGUAAAGUGGGGAUUAGCCGUUAUCCAGUGAAUUCAAACUGGGAAGAUAGUCAAUUUGGUUAAUUCCACAGUUUUAUUCUCUCAAUUUGGUGGAACACCUUCUGAUACCUUCUUGAGAGCAGUGCAUGGGAGUGGAGUCAUAGAAGAGUGCAAGACGGAGGAGUAUAAAGACCCUGAGCUCACUUCCUCUCACGAGCACACCAAAAUCACAACUAUUGGCAGAACAACUGUCAAUUAAAAACAUUGGAAUCUACCAGAAAAAAUCUUCUAUAGCUAAAGACAUAAAGAAGGAACCAUAACGAGACAGAGAAUAUGAAACAGUUCCAGAUGGUGAGCAAGUGGACAGACUCAAACAAGCUGCAAAGCUUGCUGGCACGAGAGAACCUGCUCCGUGGUGACAUACAAGUGCAGAAUCCCCACAGUCCUGCUUCCUGAUGAAACUGGAAAGAACAAACCAACAAUAGAGAAAUGAGUACUGUAAUUUAUCUUGGAGGCCAUUUAGGUUGUUUAUCCCAAACUACAUUUUGAUUCCAGUUACAGUUUAAUUAUGAGUAUUUGUUCUCUAACAGAGACUAAACAAAGGAUAGUCUGUUUGCUGCUGCCCUACCACUGGUUUGAAAACAGAUUUUUGAAGCAUUGUCUGCUUAGUAUCUCCUGGUUUAUCCUUCGCUUUGAACUAAGAGUUACUGCGAAGAGUUCAUAUGUUUCUGCUGCUUCUCCUGUCUCAGUUACUUUAUAUAGAGAAACUCUCUUUCUUUUUAAAUGUAAUGAAUAAAAUACAUUUUUUUAAUAAAUAAAACUAUGCCUAA
Long non-coding RNA from Camelus dromedarius (Arabian camel), 1329 nucleotides. RefSeq lists it as uncharacterized. NCBI's taxonomy places the organism in Eukaryota, Metazoa, Chordata, Mammalia, Artiodactyla, Camelidae. The transcript is spliced from 9 exons. The record is from RefSeq and is a predicted model, not a curated record.